RNAcentral lists this ribosomal RNA (429 nucleotides) under Potomida littoralis. Its description in RNAcentral is "partial 28S large subunit ribosomal RNA". The record is from RNAcentral. Lineage: Eukaryota; Metazoa; Mollusca; Bivalvia; Unionida; Unionidae.
UUAGAGGCAAACGGGUGGACCCGCAAUACGUCGACCCGGGGGAUUCAACCAGGCCGUGCGUUCGGGACGCGUGGGGGUUAUGCGGAGCUGUAAAGCCCGUGCCUCUGCGUGGGUCUCCGGGCGGACUGGUGCACUUUCCUCGGGUUGAUUGCCACGACCGGCUCUCCGCGCGGCCAUAAGCCUGUUGCUGGUAAGGUGACCGUCGGCCCCGCGCCGGCGGUGUUAUAGACCAGCUUGUUCGUUGCGCUCGUCGGAGGGCCGAGGAAGUUGCCGUUUCUCAGCACCCUCUGGCCAUCCUUGCUCGUCACGACUGGGGUGAACUGCUUCGUCAGUGCUCUCCCGACCGCGAGCGUAGGAAGGGCUGGUACGGUGCGAGGAUGCUUCGGGCCAGUGGCGAAUCGGUCGGUCCUCCACCCGACCCGUCUUGAA